This 500-nucleotide ribosomal RNA is filed under the name uncultured bacterium. Its description in RNAcentral is "partial 16S ribosomal RNA". It matches the Rfam family "Bacterial small subunit ribosomal RNA", at positions 32 to 507 of the family's 1533-position model. The record is from RNAcentral.
AAUCAACGCUGGCGGCGUGCCUAACACAUGCAAGUCGAACGCGAAAGCCCCGCAAGGGGUAAGUAGAGUGGCAAACGGGUGCGUAACACGUGGGUGACCUGCCUUCGAGUGGGGGAUAACGUCCCGAAAGGGACGCUAAUACCGCAUGACAUCCUGCUUUUGAAAAAGCGGAGAUCAAAGCUGGGGAUCGCAAGACCUAGCGCUUGAAGAGGGGCCCGCGCCUGAUUAGCUAGUUGGUGAGGUAACGGCUCACCAAGGCGACGAUCAGUAUCCGGCCUGAGAGGGCGGACGGACACAAUGGGACUGAGACACGGCCCAGACUCCUACGGGAGGCAGCAGUGGGGAAUUGUUCGCAAUAGGCGCAAGCCUGACGACGCAACGCCGCGUGGAGGACGAAGAUCUUCGGGUCGUAAACUCCUGUCGAGCGGGACGAACGCUUCGCGGAUGAAUAAUCCGCGGAAUUGACGGUACCGCUAAAGGAAGCCCCGGCUAACUCCGUG